RNAcentral lists this ribosomal RNA (253 nucleotides) under uncultured bacterium. Its description in RNAcentral is "partial 16S ribosomal RNA". It matches the Rfam family "Bacterial small subunit ribosomal RNA", at positions 524 to 776 of the family's 1533-position model. The record is from RNAcentral.
UACGUAGGGUGCGAGCGUUGUCCGGAAUUAUUGGGCGUAAAAGGCUCGUAGGCGGUCUGUUGCGUCGGGAGUGAAAACUCAGGGCUUAACCCUGAGCCUGCUUCCGAUACGGGCAGACUAGAGGUAUGCAGGGGAGAACGGAAUUCCGGGUGUAGCGGUGAAAUGCGCAGAUAUCAGGAGGAACACCGGUGGCGAAGGCGGUUCUCUGGGCAUUACCUGACGCUGAGGAGCGAAAGUGUGGGGAGCGAACAGG